This is a long non-coding RNA of Acanthochromis polyacanthus (spiny chromis), 863 nucleotides long. RefSeq lists it as uncharacterized. The record is from RefSeq and is a predicted model, not a curated record. The transcript has 5 exons. NCBI's taxonomy places the organism in Eukaryota, Metazoa, Chordata, Actinopteri, Pomacentridae.
CAUUCUGUGCAACCUACAGAUUUGCUGCUGCACUUCAUCUACAGGCUGAUGUUUUGCCUCACCUUGCACGGCUGUCCAAGGUGUUCCAAAAAACUGAUGUCAACUUUCUGCACAUCAAAGAACAGGUUCCUGUCACAAUUGCAGUUUUGAGGGGUAUCAUAGAGGCAGGUGGGACAUACCCUGGCUCAUUUCUGUCCAAGCUUCAUGAGGACCUAGACAACCCAGCUGCACUCAGGUCCUUCAGAAUUGUGGAAGAGGAGGAGAGAAGCAGGAAAGGCAGCGAGGCCCAAGAAAGGCCAAGGGAGGAACUGUGGAUCAGAUUCCGCAAACAGGUCCUUGAACCAUACAUCACCAGCCUCAUCAAAAAUCUGGAGAACAGAUUUGAGAAUCUCCACAUCCUUGGAGCAUUCAGUGUCCUGCGGCCACAGGAACCCCAGUUGGAUGAUGCUGCAAACAUUGCUCAUCUGCAGACCCUCAUCAAGAAAUUCCUUCCUGGACAGGAUGAAGCCACAGUGGUCCAAGAGUGGAUGUCAUUCAAGGAGCAUGUGUCUUCAGGAGCAUUUAAGGACAAAAGCCAAGGAGCAAUCCUGGAACUGCUGGCCAGUGAGUACGAUGAAUGGGGUGACGUCUAUCCCUGCCUGUCCCAACUUGCUGCUGCAGCCCUCAUCAUCCCAGUGGCAAGUGUAAAUUGUGAGAGAGAUUUCUCAGCAAUGAACAGGAUCAAAACUGAACUGAGGAACAGGCUGUAAGGGGAGCAUCUUGCUGCAUGCAUGCGCAUCAGCAUAAAUGGACCUGACCCCCAAUCCUUUCCAUACAGAAAGGCAUUGGAGAUCUUUUUUUCAAAACAGAGAAAAAUACACUGC